UAGUCCACGCCGUAAACGAUGGACACUAGUUGUUGGGAUUUAUUUCAGUGACUAAGCGAAAGUGAUAAGUGUCCCACCUGGGGAGUACGAUCGCAAGAUUGAAACUCAAAGGAAUUGACGGGGGCCCGCACAAGCGGUGGAGCAUGUGGUUUAAUUCGAUGAUACGCGAGGAACCUUACCAGGGCUUAAAUGUUAUUUGACAGGUCUAGAGAUAGAUUUUUCUUCGGACAGAUAGCAAGGUGCUGCAUGGUUGUCGUCAGCUCGUGCCGUGAGGUGUCAGGUUAAGUCCUAUAACGAGCGCAACCCCUAUCGUUAGUUGCUAGCAGGUAAAGCUGAGGACUCUAGCGAGACUGCCGGUGCAAACCGUGAGGAAGGUGGGGAUGACGUCAAAUCAUCACGGCCCUUAUGUCCUGGGCUACACACGUGCUACAAUGGUAUAUACAAUGAGCAGCCACUACGCGAGUAGGAGCGAAUCUAUAAAGUAUAUCAC
RNAcentral lists this ribosomal RNA (490 nucleotides) under uncultured bacterium. Its description in RNAcentral is "bacterial SSU rRNA". It matches the Rfam family "Bacterial small subunit ribosomal RNA", at positions 791 to 1289 of the family's 1533-position model. The record is from RNAcentral.